This 253-nucleotide ribosomal RNA is filed under the name uncultured bacterium. Its description in RNAcentral is "partial 16S ribosomal RNA". It matches the Rfam family "Bacterial small subunit ribosomal RNA", at positions 524 to 776 of the family's 1533-position model. The record is from RNAcentral.
UACGAAGGGGGCUAGCGUUGCUCGGAAUCACUGGGCGUAAAGCGCACGUAGGCGGAUUGUUAAGUCAGGGGUGAAAUCCUGGAGCUCAACUCCAGAACUGCCUUUGAUACUGGCGAUCUCGAGUCCGGGAGAGGUGAGUGGAACUCCGAGUGUAGAGGUGAAAUUCGUAGAUAUUCGGAAGAACACCAGUGGCGAAGGCGACUUACUGGACACAUAUUGACGCUGAGGUGCGAAAGCGUGGGGAGCAAACAGG